GUGAGGAAUAUUGGACAAUGGAUGGAAAUCUGAUCCAGCCAUGCCGCGUGCAGGAAGACGGCCCUAUGGGUUGUAAACUGCUUUUAUACGGGAGCAAUAAGGUCUAUGCAUAGAUUGAUGAGAGUACCGUAUGAAUAAGCAUCGGCUAACUCCGUGCCAGCAGCCGCGGUAAUACGGAGGAUGCGAGCGUUAUCCGGAUUUAUUGGGUUUAAAGGGUGCGUAGGCGGCUUUGUAAGUCAGCGGUGAAAUUUUGCAGCUUAACUGUAAAAGCGCCGUUGAUACUGUGAAGCUAGGAUUUGGUUGCUGUGGGCGGAAUGUGUGGUGUAGCGGUGAAAUGCAUAGAGAUCACACAGAAUAUCGAUUGCGAAGGCAGCUCACAAAGCCAAUAUUGACGCUGAGGCACGAAAGUGUGGGAUCAAACAGGAUUAGAAACCCUGGUAGUCC
Molecule: ribosomal RNA, 444 nt
Filed under: uncultured bacterium
Lineage: Bacteria
Description: partial 16S ribosomal RNA
Rfam family: Bacterial small subunit ribosomal RNA
Source: RNAcentral